Gadus macrocephalus (Pacific cod) is the source of this 419-nucleotide long non-coding RNA. RefSeq lists it as uncharacterized. NCBI's taxonomy places the organism in Eukaryota, Metazoa, Chordata, Actinopteri, Gadiformes, Gadidae. The record is from RefSeq and is a predicted model, not a curated record. The transcript has 2 exons.
CAACCUCCAUGCAAUUGUAACAAUUCUUCACCUUCCACAGAUUAUUAAUAAUGUCUUGGUAAUUGCUGAACACAACCGUUAAUGUCAUUACAGGAAGAUGAUGGAGAAACAUUGUCUGCGGCAUUCGAAAGGGAAGAGGAAAGGCCUAUUGAGGAUGAAAUCGAAUCCAAUGAGAGGCCAUCCACUUCUAAAUCACAGCUUACCUCUGUAAGAUUCUCCCUGGAAUUAUAAUGAAACGCUCUACUUGGCACUGUGAAAUCCAAUCUCAUCUUUUGCAUUCCUAUAGCUUCCAGUCAAAGACUUAUAUAAAAUCUAUCUAGAAAAGCAAAUACACAAAGCAGACUUGGAAAUGGACCACCUUAGGCAAAAGAUGCAAAAGGAUGCUUUGGAGAUCCACAUUUUGGAACAUAAGUUAAAGG